CGUGGAGACAGGUGGUGCAUGGCUGUCGUCAGCUCGUGUCGUGAGAUGUUGGGUUAAGUCCCGCAACGAGCGCAACCCUCACCCCUUGUUGCCAUCAGGUCACGCUGGGCACUCUAGGGGAACUGCCCCGGUCAACGGGGAGGAAGGUGGGGACGACGUCAAGUCAUCAUGCCCCUUACGCCCUGGGCUACACACGUGCUACAAUGGCCGGUACAAAGGGAUGCAAGACCGUGAGGUGGAGCUAAACCCAAGAAGCCGGUCUAAGUUCAGAUUGGAGUCUGCAACUCGACUCCAUGAAGGAGGAAUCGCUAGUAAUCGCGCAUCAGCACGGCGCGGUGAAUACGUUCCCGGGCCUUGUACACACCGCCCGUCACACCACGAAAGCUGUCUGUACUCGAAGUCGCUGAG
This 408-nucleotide ribosomal RNA is filed under the name uncultured Methylomirabilota bacterium. RNAcentral's name for it is "bacterial SSU rRNA". It matches the Rfam family "Bacterial small subunit ribosomal RNA", at positions 1027 to 1434 of the family's 1533-position model. Lineage: Bacteria; Methylomirabilota (SeqCode). The record is from RNAcentral.